This 370-nucleotide unclassified non-coding RNA is filed under the name uncultured fungus. Its description in RNAcentral is "partial contains internal transcribed spacer 2 and large subunit ribosomal RNA". Lineage: Eukaryota; Fungi. The record is from RNAcentral.
AACGCACCUUGCACUUUGGGAGUCAAUCUCAAAGUAUACCUGUUUGAGUAUCAUACCAUUCUAUCCAAGCAAUUGGGAUUUGAGAGAUUGUGUGCCUUUGGGCACAGAGUGUCUUUAAAUGCAGUUCAGAGGAGAGUAGGCGCACUUGCAGCCAAUCUCGAGUGAGGAUGUUUGCCUUGUGCAAAGUUAAUCAUGAGAGGGCUUUUGUCAGCAAGGAUGAUGCGUGUCUAUACGAGCUGACAGUAGAAAAGUAGAAAACAGUUAAGCACUGUUUGUUGCAUUGUCUCAGACUUCUUUUUAGGGGUGUGAGGAUGCAGUUUGGUGGUACAAAUGUGAUCUCAAAUCAGGCAAGACUACCCGCCGAACUUAA